AAGAAAGAAAGAAAGAAAUGAAAAAGAAAAACGCUUAGAAGUAUCUCUCGCUUCAUCUCUCUCCUGAGCUUUCUUUCUCUCUCCACCUUCUUUGCUUCACCUUAGCACAGAAGAGAGAGAGAGAGAAAGAGAGAAACAUGUCCAAUCCGUCUUUCCGAGCACCAUUUAUGCGUGUAAGGAAUUUGUAAAAGCUUUCUUUUGCUUUUUAUUUGUGCUGGGACGGGGUUGAGUUUGUUGCCAGAGCUUUGUGUUCUUUGUUUUUGGGUUAUUACUGUUGUUGCUGUUGUUGAAGAUGUUGGUGGCAAAUAGCUUUGAUCUAUGGCAAAAGGACUCAUUUUUUUGUGCUGCCGAGGAGGUUCAGGAAUCUACAGAUAUACUGGAAUCAGCAUACAGGACAUGGAUGAGACAGAAGAGAGAAACACUAUCACCAGAGUGUUUGGAUGAACUCUGUAGGGAGCUGCAAACUGCUUUAGGAACUGCUAAAUGGCAGUUGGAAGAGUUCGAGAGGGCUGUCAGGUUGAGCUAUGGACAUCGUAGUGAUGACAGUACAAUGGCUAGGCAUAGACAAUUUAUUUCUGCCAUUGAAAACCAAAUAUCACAUGUUGAAGCAGCAUUAAGGGAAUCUUUUAGUGAGGAAGGAAAGCAACCCCUUCGGUGGGUGAAUCUGGAUGAAGAUGAAUGUGAUGACUUGGCCGCAUUUCUCUCUGGAACCUCCCAAAGCUUGCAAAGUGCAAAAGAUGAUUGUUUAGAGCUCAGACCUUCCAAGAAAAGCUCUCCUCUGGAUAACACUCAGAGAAAAGAUGCAGACCUUAAUCUCAAUGCUUCCUGCAGCAGAGGAUUUUCUGAUGAAAUGAAAAGUUUUAAAGAUGUUAGUAGUGUUAGUAAGGACAAAAAUAAUGUCAUAAAUAUAGAAGCAAAUGAAAUUCCCUUAGGGAGGGAUGAUAUAAUUUGUCAAGCAGAUAGAACAACUAAUACAAGGAGAACGUGGAGCUCACCAAAUUUUGGUGAAUUGAAGAUAAUAAUUCCUGAUGAAGAUGAACAGGUAGACAAACUAGUGCUGAGGGUCGACGACACUCCUAAGGAAAAAAGGUCAAAACCUUUCUUUUGGAAGCAAAGGCGUGUGGAAUUUUUUCAGGUGCAGGGAGCAGUUAAUUUGUUCAAUCAGUUCAAUGUGUUGCAGCUCUUUGGUCGGGCUGGUGGGUUGCAGAGACAAUUGCAGAGUCCAAUACACUUGCCAUUCCGUUGUUCUGUACAAGUUACACUUGCUUUUAUGCUAACUAUCUUUUUGAUUGUACCUUUUUUAUUUUAUUCAGCUUGAUAAAGUGGUAUUUUUACGGCAGAAGAUCAAGAUGAGAGGCAAACUUCAAGAUUCUAGUUAAACAGUGCCUAAUGCACAAGCAUACAGAUCUUGACUUCAACAUAUGUACUGAGGUGAUUCUAAAGCAAGUUUGAAAAGGGAACGCUUGUGAUUCUCAAGUCUAGGCAUUGUCCCAGCAUGUAUGACAUUUUGGAGUAGGCCAGGCCUCCUCCUCUUUAAAGUUUGAGAAGUAAAACAGCAACAGGAAUGGGAUAUCUUUUUAGACUUCUUGAUGCUACAAAUUGUAAAUACAUUCAUGUUGUCUUAAAUGUAUGCUCCCAGUUAUAUCUGGUAGUGUAGACAAUCCCAUUUCAAUUUAAGCCUUAAACUUUAAACAUGGCUGCUUGUUAAGGGUCCAAAUCCAUGGCUUUUAAUGUACUACCCUUGAUCUUUGGUUAAUAAUGCUUGUAAAUAACUCAUCUUUAAAUCCCUUUGCACUGAAUGUUUUCUGGUCUGUUCAAUUAUCGAUAAUCUGAUUUUUGGCUAA
This is an RNA transcript of Quercus robur (English oak), 1844 nucleotides long. RefSeq lists it as uncharacterized. The transcript has 7 exons. Lineage: Eukaryota; Viridiplantae; Streptophyta; Magnoliopsida; Fagales; Fagaceae. The record is from RefSeq and is a predicted model, not a curated record.